CUGCAAUGUGCAUUACCUGCAAAAGCACAAGACAACUGAUUAAGAAAAACUACAAGAAUCCAGUAAUUUAACAAGGAAAAUGCACAUAACAUUUCACAUGGAUAGUUUGCAACUGAAUCAUAGUAGGUUCUAUAUUCUUAUUGAAACUAUCAACAAAUAAGAUUUAUGAAUCCACUGCUAGUUAUAAAGUAAGUCACACUAACAGUUGGGAAGGUAUCAUUAGAA
RNAcentral lists this unclassified non-coding RNA (225 nucleotides) under Hevea brasiliensis (rubber tree). The record is from RNAcentral. Lineage: Eukaryota; Viridiplantae; Streptophyta; Magnoliopsida; Malpighiales; Euphorbiaceae.